GAUUCUGGCUCAGGAUGAACGCUAGCUACAGGCUUAACACAUGCAAGUCGAGGGGCAGCAUGUGGUGCUGCAACCAAUGAUGGCGACCGGCGCACGGGUGAGUAACGCGUAUCCAACCUUCCCUAUAGUAGAGGAUAGCCCGGCGAAAGUCGGAUUAAUACUCUAUGUUUUCCAAUGCAGACAUCUAAAAUGGAACAAAGGUUUACCGCUAUAGGAUGGGGAUGCGUCUGAUUAGAUGGUAGGCGGGGUAAUGGCCCACCUAGUCGACGAUCAGUAGGGUUCUGAGAGGAAGGUCCCCCACAUUGGAACUGAGACACGGUCCAAACUCCUACGGGAGGCAGCAGUGAGGAAUAUUGGUCAAUGGGCGAGAGCCUGAACCAGCCAAGUAGCGUGCAGGAUGACGGCCCUAUGGGUUGUAAACUGCUUUUAUACAGGGAUAAAGUGACGUACGUGUACGUUAUUGUAGGUACUGUAUGAAUAAGGACCGGCUAAUUCCGUGCCAGCCGCCGC
Molecule: ribosomal RNA, 510 nt
Filed under: uncultured bacterium
Lineage: Bacteria
Description: bacterial SSU rRNA
Rfam family: Bacterial small subunit ribosomal RNA
Source: RNAcentral